AUGCGGAUGGCAUACACGUCCA
RNAcentral lists this microRNA (22 nucleotides) under Drosophila erecta. RNAcentral's name for it is "der-miR-2499". Lineage: Eukaryota; Metazoa; Arthropoda; Insecta; Diptera; Drosophilidae. The record is from miRBase by way of RNAcentral.